GAUGAACGCUGGCGGCGUGCCUAAUACAUGCCAGUCGAACGAACGGACCAGUAUCUUGCUUUUCUCAUGUUACCGGCGGACGGGUGAGUCACGCGUGGAUAACCUACCUCUAAGACUUAGCUUCCUUCGAGAGACCCUAGCUCAUACCGGAUACUCUUUUUACCCGCAUGGUUCUGGAGUGUAUCACGGUCUUGCUAUCACUUCUCGACUUAUCCGCGGUUCAUUAGCUAGUUGGUAAGGUAACGGCUUACCAAGGCACCGAUGCAUAGCCGACGUGAGAGGGUGAACGGCGACACGGGAACUGAGAGACGGCACAGACACCGACGGGAGGCAGAAGUAGGGAAGCGUCCGAAAUGGGCGAAAGACUGAAGGAGCAACGCAGGGUGAGUGAUGAAGGUCUUCGGACCGGAAAACUCUGUUAGGAGUGAAGAACAUAUGUGCAAGUAACGGUGCACAGCGUGACGGUACCUAAUCAGAAAGCCACGGCUAACUACGUG
RNAcentral lists this ribosomal RNA (497 nucleotides) under uncultured bacterium. RNAcentral describes it as "partial 16S ribosomal RNA". It matches the Rfam family "Bacterial small subunit ribosomal RNA", at positions 28 to 507 of the family's 1533-position model. The record is from RNAcentral.